AACGAACGCUGGCGGCAUGCCUAACACAUGCAAGUCGAACGAGACCUUCGGGUCUAGUGGCGCACGGGUGCGUAACGCGUGGGAACCUGCCCUUAGGUUCGGCAUAACUCCCCGAAAGGGGUGCUAAUACCGGAUAAUGUCUUCGGACCAAAGAUUUAUCGCCUUUGGAUGGGCCCGCGUUGGAUUAGCUAGUUGGUAGGGUAAAAGCCUACCAAGGCGACGAUCCAUAGCUGGUCAGUGAGGAUGAGCAGCCACACUGGGAGUGAGACACGGCCCAGACUCCUACGGGAGGCAGGAGUGGGGGAUAUUGGACAGUGGGCGGAAGCCUGAUCCAGCUAUGCCGCGUGAGUGAUGAAGGCCUUAGGGUUGUAAAGCUCUUUUACCCGGGAUGAUAAUGACAGUACCGGGAGAAUAAGCUCCGGCUAACUCCGUG
This 433-nucleotide ribosomal RNA is filed under the name uncultured bacterium. Its description in RNAcentral is "partial 16S ribosomal RNA". It matches the Rfam family "Bacterial small subunit ribosomal RNA", at positions 29 to 507 of the family's 1533-position model. The record is from RNAcentral.